Non-coding RNA from Chiloscyllium plagiosum (whitespotted bambooshark), 519 nucleotides. The record is from RefSeq and is a predicted model, not a curated record. Lineage: Eukaryota; Metazoa; Chordata; Chondrichthyes; Orectolobiformes; Hemiscylliidae.
GUGGCCAGCAACUGCACUGAGCAUUUUAUGAUUUGAGAUAUGCACUGCAUCUGAAUAACAAUCAGGGCUGGCUGAUGCUCCCACCCACCCCUGCCACCACCCCUCCAAUCUCCUUAGUGAAGUCAUACUGAGGCCAAGGUGAGAGGCCAACUAACUCAGUAAAGAAGGCAAGGAUGAGCCUAAGCCUCUUUGUUCUCCAUGGCUCAGCAGCAAACAAGGUUUCAAGGUUACUUGCUGGAACAGGUCACUUAUAUACGACAACAAUUUUGAUAUUGCUUCUGAUUUUAAGCUUCUAGGUCGUCCUGGUGACCCUUUCAAAAGUGGGGAGAGAAAGUUGGUGGAAAGAUGGCUUUGGUUUAGUACCCAAACCAUCCUUAUCAGAAACAGGAGGAGGACAGCAUGGAUAGGACAAAGGUGUCAGCUGAGGAAAUGACUGGUGCAAUGGAAGCUGUUAAAUCUAAUAGCUCAGAACUGUCGAAUAUAACCCUCAUAUUUGAAAAGUUUUUCAUUGAGUUUUAC